CUCAUUAAAGGAUCUGCUCCUCUACGAAAAUGGUUUCCUCAAAAUUACAACCUUUAAAGAAGGUUCUCGCUCCGAGCCUUAAACCGCAUACACGUCUAAUUGAGUUUGUGCACGCGCAUAGCAGCAGAGAGGGAACGUAAUUAAAAUGUCCAUUUAUGUUUCAAUGACCCACACGCACGCGCUUCUCCACUAGGUACUCUCGGCGCCCCUCCUCUUCCGGUUCUCUCUACUCCACAUAGACCACGUGGUUUCCUUGCAGGGGAAAAAAAGGGUGAAAAAAACGUUGGAGUCUGCGUAGGGGCGGCGUCACCCCGCUGCCGACAGAUCGCCGAAAGAGGCUGGGAGAGGCGGAGAAAGAGAGGAAAACAUCCCCGCCGACCUGCUCCCGCCAUACUUCCCCACUCCUCCACCGUAGAGCCAUCAUCACCGGCAGGCUGCAGCGAGGCACCGUCAGUGCUCACCGGAUCUACACCCACCUCCACCUGUUUUCUACGCGCUCCUGUCUGCUGGGAGGAGACGGAACUUUUCUGCUCCUCGCGGCGGGAUUUCUACUUUUUGAUUGACAGCAGCGUUGAUUGAUAUUCACUUUUUUAAGCUUUACUGGACUCGCUUUUUUCUUUUGUUGGAUUUUAUGAAUUGUUCUGCCAUGCAUAAGCUGUACAUUGGGAAUCUAAGCGACGGCGUGACCGCCGAGGACCUGGGGAGGACCUUUGACGAGCACAAGAUCCCCUACACCGGACAGUUCCUCAUGAAGAACGGCUACGCCUUCGUGGACUGUCCCGACGACCACUGGGCCAUGAAAGCGAUCGAGACCUUCUCCGGUAAAGUGGAACUUCACGGGAAACGGAUCGAGGUGGAGCACUCCGUCCCCAAGAAGCAAAGGACCAGGAAGCUGCAGAUCCGAAACAUCCCGCCUCACCUGCAGUGGGAGGUGCUGGACGGUCUGCUGGCUCAGUGUGGGACCGUUGAAAACUGUGAACAAGUCAACACAGACGGCGAGACGGCGGUGGUUAAUGUGACAUAUGCAACCAGAGAGCACGCCAGGCAAGCCAUCCAGAAGCUGAACGGAUACCAGUUUGAGAACAACGCCCUGCGGAUCACCUACAUCCCCGAUGAAACCUCAGAGAUGGACGGGGGCCAGCGGGGGCCCGACAACGGCCGGCGGCCCGGCUACGGCCCCCGCGGCAGCCUGCGCGGCAGCUCCCCCAGCUCAGGAAUGCCCCCCAAAACGCAGCACGCCGACAUCCCCCUCAGACUGCUGGUGCCCACACAGUACGUGGGGGCCAUCAUUGGCAAGGAGGGGGCCACCAUUCGCAACAUCACCAAGCAGACGCAGAGCAAGAUCGACGUUCACCGCAAAGAGAACGCCGGAGCCGCCGAGAAGCCCAUCAGCAUCCACUCCACCCCCGAGGGCUGCUCCGCCGCCUGCCGCAUGAUCCUGGACAUCAUGCACCAGGAGGCCAAAGACACCAAAACAGCUGACGAGGUUCCUCUCAAGAUUCUGGCUCACAACAACUUCGUUGGUCGCCUUAUCGGGAAGGAAGGACGCAACCUGAAGAAAGUGGAGCAGGACACGGACACCAAGAUCACCAUCUCCCCGCUCCAAGACCUGACGCUGUACAACCCCGAGAGAACCAUCACGGUGAAGGGCUCCAUCGAGGACUGCUGCAGGGCCGAGGUGGAGAUCAUGAAGAAGGUCAGAGAGGCCUACGAUAACGACAUUGCAGCCAUGAACCAGCAGACUCACCUGAUCCCUGGACUCAACCUGGGGGCUCUGGGCCUCUUCCCCUCCUCCUCCAACAUGCCCCCCCCACCACCGGGGAAUGCUGUCAGUGGAGCCCCCUAUGGAUGCUUCGGGGCUCCGGAGCAGGAGACCGUCCACGUCUACAUCCCAGCUCAGGCAGUGGGGGCCAUCAUCGGCAAGAAAGGACAGCACAUCAAGCAGCUGAGCCGCUUCGCCGGAGCCUCCAUCAAGAUCGCACCGGCGGAGAGUCCGGACUCAAAGAUGAGGAUGGUGAUAGUGACAGGACCCCCUGAGGCUCAGUUUAAGGCUCAGGGUAGGAUCUAUGGAAAACUCAAGGAGGAGAACUUCUUCGGGCCCAAGGAGGAAGUGAAGCUGGAGACCCACAUCAAGAUGGCCGCUGCUGCAGCUGGGAGGGUCAUCGGAAAAGGAGGCAAGACGGUGAACGAGCUGCAGAACCUGACGGCGGCGGAGGUGGUGGUGCCCCGAGAGCAGACGCCUGACGAGAACGACCAGGUCAUCGUCAAGAUCAACGGACAUUUCUAUGCAAGCCAGCUGGCCCAGAGGAAGAUCCGGGACAUCCUGACCCAGGUCAAACAGGCGCAGAAAGGUGGGAUGGGGGGCAUGAGCCCUGGCCCCCACUCCCACCCUCAGGGCUUCACAGAGAUGGGCAGCCCCCAGGGCCUGGCUCAGGACCACCAGCCACGCAGGAAGUGAGGGCCCCAAGCUUCCUGACAGGCUGACGGGCCCCCCCUGCCUGACGGACUGACGGACACAUGCACAGACGGAUAGAUGGACAGACACAGAAGAGCAACACACGGACCAGCGAUGGAUGGGGAGGGACGAGGAGGGAGGGGGGACGCCCCAGAGGGAUGAUUAAAUCAAAACACAGAAAAUGAGAUGAAACUUGAAUACAGAGAGACCCGAUGCCAGGCCAGGGAGGGGCUGAGUGCAGACGAGGGGGGGCGAUGAAAAGAAGGGGAAAUGUAAGUUUGGGGGUGGGGGGAGCAGCCUCAGUUUGUAUGCAGCUGCUCGUCAGACCCACCAGGGGGCGAUGUAACAGCACAGCUGGCUUCACUCUGUGAGCGGGGAGCAGCUGGGCCUCCUGUAAUCACACAUGUACAGCACCCCCCUCUUCUUUACUGGCCCCCCCACAGAGCCUUCCAUCUGUCUGGACUCGGCUCCUCCGUGUGAGGGGGUUUUUGAGAACAGAGAUAUAUGUAUAGAAAUGUUUUAUUCAGAGCUAUUAAUGGUAGAAUGCAGUGACACAGAGCUGGGUGGGGCUGGGAUGCUGCUGGGGGGCUCUGGAGGUCCGGACUCUGGCAUUGAGUCUGGAAGGGGGGCCUGAGAUGUUAACACUGCUCUGACAUAUAAGAGAAGACGACGUGAGGUUGUAAAUAUAUAAUCUUCGAGUAAACGCUGCGCCCGACCCCCCCGCCCUUCGUGUUUUUAACCUCGGUGAGAGGUCCCGCCCCCUUGACUCUGCAGUGUGUAGCAUGUGUAGCCUACAACAGGGGGGCUGGAAGAGGACACCUCCCCGCCACGCCCUGCAGUGCGGGGGUGGGCGCAGCGUCAGACAGCAGGGAUGCGGGGGCCGCAGGGGUCCUGCAGUUCUAUUGCAGCGGCUCAGAUAAACGCCAGCAGCCGUGCCAGCUGGCUCACGGCCCCCACCCUCAACGGCAUAUUUUAUAUAUAUUAUAUAUAUAUGAUAUGUGAGUUAGCCUGGGCCCCUCGGGGGGAGCGUUUGGAGGGCAGUGCCUCAGGUGUAAGCUCCUCCCACACCUGGAUGAGUAUGCGACAGGUGCGUCUGAGAGGGCGGUGUCUCAGAACCAAAAGCUCCUCGUACUGUUGAAAACCAGAGCCCCUUGGCGAGGCUCCCAGCCUUUACAUCCCAGUCUGCCAAAGGCCUGUGGGUGGAGCCUCCUGGCCCCGCCUGUGUGUGAUAAUGAGGGGCGGGGCCAAAGCUUGGACUCCUGCCAAGAUUAGAAGAGAAGAAAGAAAAAAGCUACCUCAGGGUAAAGUUACCUCAGUAUUCCGAACUUUUUCUUUCUUUUCGGCUUGCUGGAGUUUUAUAUAAGAGCUGAUAGUCCUGAAUAUUUUUUAUUUUUUUAAGGAAACUUUUUUUGGUAUCAUCUCGUUGCUUUGGCUUUGUUUUUUUUUUUUGUGUGUGUGCGAGACAGCGUGGCGUGAGUUCAGGAGGACGGAGACGCAGAAACCCGGCUUCGCCUUUUUAGUGAGGAAACUCGUCUUCCUGAAGUGUGAUUGAGAAGGGCCAAUGGGGAGGGGUGUUAACUCCUGGGGGGUCUGAGUGGACAAAUGCUCUCCUUCCUAGGGGCCCCAAUGGACCCCCCCUUCCCGACUGCCUUACUGUUGUGACACCAUCACCAAAGCAGAGGGUUACUUUGUUCGGUUUAAGAGGCGCUCCAUCACAGCCGUACAUGGAGACGGUGGGGGCUGGCCUUCCCGCGCACCCCCAGCUCGCUCUCUGAAUGUGAAUCCUUACCUGCACUGACCACAGCGCCCUCGCACUCCCCGUUGGUCGUGUGCGUGUGUGUUUGAAUGUCGCUGGUUUCCUUUUUUGUCAGAAUGUGGUUUGAUGAAACUUAAAAAAGUAGGAAAAGAGAGGUGUGCUCCUCCACCCGGGUUGUUGGGGCAACGCUCUUCCACCCGGGUUGAAGGGCAACGCUCCUCCACCCAGGUUGUUGGGGCAACGCUCCUCCUCCCGGGUUGAAGAGGCUCCUCCACCCGGGUUGUUGGGGCAACGCUCCUCCACCCGGGUUGUUGGGGCAACGCUCCUCCACCCGGGUUGUUGGGGCAACGCUCUUCCACCCGGGUUGUUGGGGCAACGCUCUUCCACCCGGGUUGAAGGGCAACGCUCCUCCACCCGGGUUGUUGGGGCAACGCUCCUCCACCCGGGUUGAAGGGCAACGCUCCUCCACCUGGGUUGAAGGGCAAACCCUCUUCCACCCGGGUGGAAGGGCAACGCUCCUCCACCCGUGCUGAUGGCAUCGUGCUCCUGCGCUCAUGUUGGAGGAGAACGCUCUUCCGCAUGGCAGACAGGAAGGAUUUGAAAAGCGGGAGCAGAAACGGCAGCAAUGCUGCAAAAUAGAAACUCUAGACGCUGAUACUUUUUGUAUUUUUGGAGAAAAAAAGUAAAAACGAGAGCGCGGUUGAGAAAAGACCAGUCUAUGAAGGACACUGCCAGCUAAUGCCCAUCUUUACGAGCUCCAACCAGCACUCCAUCACCAACCUCCAACCGAUGGAGACAAAUCUAUUCUGCUUCCAUUGUUGUCUGGCGGGGGAGGGGCUGUGAGAAGCUCCUCCCCUGCCCACAGCUCUCCUCAGAGCCACCGCCGCCGCGCUUUGGACUCCUGCUUCAACCUGCAGGCUCAUUUCUGUUUUAGUAAGAAAACGCAGCAAGCUUCAUUUGGACGUGACAUCCGGGUCGUGCCGUUGCACCGACGACAUACACUGAGGGGGAGGGGGAGGCAGGGGCCACCAGGCUCCUCCUCCUCUCGUUUGUCCUCCUCACUACUCUUUUUGGGAAAAAGCGUGACCUGCUUUGAUUUCCUCAAUGAAACGAGGUCAUUCUGGGUGGAGCCGCAGGGCCCCGCCCUCUCCCGCGCUGGACUCCAUUGUGUUCUCACUUCUGUUUAAGACCUUUUGAUUUUUCAUUCAUCUUUUUUUAUGAAGUAGUGUUUUUGAUCGUGUUAUUUUCCCUCAGAUCUGUUACCGCGUGGCGACCAACCUGCAGGCGUACUAACCAGUUACUGUGUCAGACCAGCAGGAGGCGUUUUCUGUUUCAGCUCACGGUGACUUCGGCGCCACCGGCGGUCAGUGUGCUGCCGCUGCGUGAAGCAUCCGCCUCUGCGGCUCAUCCACGAAAUCUUCGCACUUCCGUUGUGUUUAGAUAUUUCCUGUACAACUGAAAUAAUAGCAGUUUAUGUUGCAUGUUUUCCUGUGAGGUCACUGCUGACCACUUCCUCCGACCCUGGUGACCCGGUUUGAAGGGAACCUGCUGGUGUACCUCGUGUACGUCAGAGGAACCGGGUCCACAUCCAUUUGUUCGAGCACCUCCGUCUUCAGCGCCUUUUGGUUUGGUUCUUCACUCGUGUCUGAUGCAUUGUUGUGUUUUGACGGCACGCGAGCACCGCAGCCCGCUGCAGUGUCGAGGAUAUAUGCAGUAGAUCGCCACAGAACGCCACUGCAGCUGGUCUCUGAAGGCUGGAAGUGUGGCAGGUCAGACGGGUCGGAGGUGGGCCGGCAGCAGAGUGGACGGCCAAACCCUAACAGACCGGGAAAAACAUGCAAACCUCCUGACACAUAUCGCUACCUCAACGCAAAACCUCAGCUAGAAGAUUGUUCAGAAGAGAACAGAAACGGGACUCACAGUUCACUUUAAUUUAUUCUGUUCCCUCCAUCAGAGACGGAACAAACCGUUGGGGUUUUGGUCCCGGUGGGACCGCUGGAGCGUCUGACUGGGCCCGUCAGCGGGUCAUCCUGGAGGGGUUUCGAACCGUGACCUCCUCAGAAAUCCCCGCUGGUGCUCCAGCUCCGCUCCACAGCGCCCCCUGGUCCUCACCUCUGGAACAACACCAGAAAGCAUCUCAUCAUUUUGUUGAUCUACCUCUUAGGAAAAAAUAGAUAAAAGCAGUAAUUUCUCCUUAUAAAGCUCACAAAAUGCAGAAAAAAAGAAGACUGAAAUUGCUGAGAGAUAUUAUAGUUUAAAGAAUAACACGGUAGCGGCAUCUCCAUAUACUGUAGUGGAUAGUCUAUUAAAGAAAACCUUUCCUUCCUCCAAAGAUGAUUUUACUUUCUUCCUCCACUCCUAGAUGAUUUCAGAAGACUAUAAAGGGGGACAGAGCUCGCCGCCUGUAAUUAAUGUUCUUUAAACCCAACAUACCAGAGAUUUCUUUCCCCUCACUCUGCUGCAGACGUGCUUCGGUCGGCUCCUGAUCUCCUUGGUUCUGACAGCAGAUUGUAUCUCUUAUGUUCGGGUGCAUUUAGCAUUUCUUUCUGUGUGAAAGCCUUCAUGAGGAGAGCGCCCCGCGAGGACCUUCCACUUUCACUGCUGAUGAGUCGUCGUCAAAGAAAAGGACCUGUUAUUGUGCGCUGACUGCGCCGCUGCAGGUGGGAGGAAGAGGGCGCCGCGCCUUCCGUACGGCCCGCCACACCUGGGCCCUCCUCCUCCUCACCUGACGGCGGCUUUGUUCUCUAAUUAUAUGGACUUUCACCCUCUGCCUGCCUGAUUUCUUUAGUCCUCAUCAACACUCGUUUAAUUCCUUGUAAACAAACAGAGCAUAGAUAUGAAUGUGUUAUUAAAAGAUGAUCAUGGAC
Oryzias melastigma (Indian medaka) is the source of this 7078-nucleotide RNA transcript. It is a transcript of the gene named insulin-like growth factor 2 mRNA binding protein 1, with no coding region annotated. Lineage: Eukaryota; Metazoa; Chordata; Actinopteri; Beloniformes; Adrianichthyidae. The transcript is spliced from 16 exons. The record is from RefSeq and is a predicted model, not a curated record.